This 260-nucleotide ribosomal RNA is filed under the name uncultured bacterium. RNAcentral describes it as "partial small subunit ribosomal RNA". It matches the Rfam family "Bacterial small subunit ribosomal RNA", at positions 26 to 285 of the family's 1533-position model. The record is from RNAcentral.
AGGACGAACGCUGGCGGCGUGCUUAACACAUGCAAGUGGGGCGACGAACCGGACUUCGGUCCGGGGCAAAGCCGCGAACGGGUGAGUAACACGUGGGCAGCCUGCCCUUGACACUGGAAUAACAGCUGGAAACAGCUGCUAAUACCGGAUACGACCUUCGAUGGCAUCAUCUGGAGGUGGAAAGCUCCGGCGGUCAAGGAUGGGCUCGCGGCCUAUCAGCUUGUUGGCGAGGUAACGGCUCACCAAGGCUUCGACGGGUA